RNAcentral lists this ribosomal RNA (468 nucleotides) under uncultured bacterium. RNAcentral describes it as "partial 16S ribosomal RNA". It matches the Rfam family "Bacterial small subunit ribosomal RNA", at positions 28 to 507 of the family's 1533-position model. The record is from RNAcentral.
GACGAACGCUGGCGGCGUGCUUAACACAUGCAAGUCGAACGGAAAGGCCCUGCUUUUGUGGGGUGCUCGAGUGGCGAACGGGUGAGUAACACGUGAGUAACCUGCCCUUGACUUUGGGAUAACUUCAGGAAACUGGGGCUAAUACCGGAUAGGAGCUCCUGCUGCAUGGUGGGGGUCGGAAAGUUUCGGCGGUUGGGGAUGGACUCGCGGCUUAUCAGCUUGUUGGUGGGGUAGUGGCUUACCAAGGCUUUGACGGGUAGCCGGCCUGAGAGGGUGACCGGCCACAUUGGGACUGAGAUACGGCCCAGACUCCUACGGGAGGCAGCAGUGGGGAAUAUUGCACAAUGGGCGGAAGCCUGAUGCAGCAACGCCGCGUGCGGGAUGACGGCCUUCGGGUUGCAAACCGCUUUCGCCUGUGACGAAGCGUGAGUGACGGUAAUGGGUAAAGAAGCACCGGCUAACUACGUG